AUGGCGCUGCAAUGUCUAUUUGCAAAUAUUUUGUUUUAUAUUUUGCGUGUAUGAUUUUAAGAAGUUAUUCAAAGAUUAAAAAUUAUGAGAUAAAUGAAAACAUUUUUAAUCUUUUCGCGUAAUUUUUUGCUUUACGUAAUAAACUUCUAAAAUUAGCCAAAAUGUGAGUAUUUUUGGCCUAGUUUUAUGUGGUCGUUGUUUAACCGGCCCACUUGAAUAGUAAAAUUCGAAUAAAGUAAGCAAGAAUCGUAAACGUUCGACUGGAACGCAAUUACUCGCCGCCAUUUGACGUCGCGUCCUGCACAUGCACAAUAACGGCAUUGUGUUUUUCGACUGCCGGCGCUCUCAAACGAAGCAAAGACGACGCUAUAAAUAUGAAUUAUGCAUGUGGUGAGGUGUGCGAGGCGCGCUAGAAAAUUAAUGUGCGUCGCUCUGCGACGGCGAGAGGAAGUGAUUUUAAUAAAUUUUUAGUUUUAUCGUUUUUCAAUCGCAUUGAAGCCGACCGUGAAGAAAACUCACUCGAAUCCAUACAGGUAUUGGAAUAUCUGCGAAAUGUACAUUGUAUGAUCAACAUUUGAGGGCAACACUUCACAAAUUAGUUCUGCUUUGUUCCAGAAAAAGAAAAACUUGAAAGUUUUGAAAAACGUGCUAUAACCGCACACCUGUUGAAUUAGGUAUACUUAUCAUUAGAAACAUGGUUGAAAGCCUUUUUUAUUUCUUUCAAUGCGAUGCACACAUAAAGUAAUGCCAAUAGUUAUCACUUACCAUCUGUGACGAAUAAAUAAUACAUUGCUUAUUAAAUUAUGCAAUCGACAAUUUUGCAAUAAACUGUCGUCAGAGAUGCGCUGAAGGAUACGGCGUGUGCAUUUGGCUUUGGUGGCACCGGCAGCCAUAAAACGGAUGGUGGAUAUUGAACAUGGACACACACAUCGUUUGUCGGUUCUAAUGCGUCUCGCACGAUGAAUUUUAUGAAACUGUGCUUGUAUCAAGUUUUCUCAACGCACUUAAACGCAGGCAUUAUUAAAAAUUUAAAAAAUUUAAAUUUUAGUAAAAAUUUUCAAAUGAAAAUUUAAAGAGUUUUUGUUUAUAUUUGUAUUAAUCGUGUGUUAAGCGAAUCAAAUCAUGAAUAUCACC
Molecule: long non-coding RNA, 1134 nt
Organism: Dalotia coriaria
Lineage: Eukaryota; Metazoa; Arthropoda; Insecta; Coleoptera; Staphylinidae
Exons: 3
Source: RefSeq, a predicted model, not a curated record